This 484-nucleotide ribosomal RNA is filed under the name uncultured bacterium. RNAcentral describes it as "partial 16S ribosomal RNA". It matches the Rfam family "Bacterial small subunit ribosomal RNA", at positions 29 to 523 of the family's 1533-position model. The record is from RNAcentral.
AGUGAACGCUGGCGGCGUGCUUAACACAUGCAAGUCGAACGAGAACGGAAUAUAGCUUGCUAUAUUUGUCAGCUAAGUGGCGCACGGGUGAGUAAUGUAUAGAUAACCUGCCCUUAAGAAAGGAAUAACAGUUGGAAACGACUGCUAAUGCCCUAUAUGCCUUUAAUACAUAAGUAUGAAGGGAAACGCUUUAGUGCUUAAGGAUGGGUCUGUAUGGUAUCAGCUUGUUGGUGAGGUAAUGGCUCACCAAGGCUAUGACGCCUAACUGGUUUGAGAGGAUGAUCAGUCACACUGGAACUGAGACACGGUCCAGACUCCUACGGGAGGCAGCAGUGGGGAAUAUUGCACAAUGGACGAAAGUCUGAUGCAGCAACGCCGCGUGGAGGAUGACACAUUUCGGUGCGUAAACUCCUUUUAUAUAGGAAGAUAAUGACGGUACUAUAUGAAUAAGCACCGGCUAACUCCGUGCCAGCCGCCGCCGUAA